This 279-nucleotide ribosomal RNA is filed under the name uncultured bacterium. RNAcentral's name for it is "partial 16S ribosomal RNA". It matches the Rfam family "Bacterial small subunit ribosomal RNA", at positions 506 to 784 of the family's 1533-position model. The record is from RNAcentral.
UGCCAGCCGCCGCGGUAAUACGGAGGGGGUUAGCGUUGUUCGGAAUUACUGGGCGUAAAGCGCACGUAGGCGGAUUAGUCAGUCAGAGGUGAAAUCCCAGGGCUCAACCCUGGAACUGCCUUUGAUACUGCUAGUCUUGAGUUCGAGAGAGGUGAGUGGAAUUCCGAGUGUAGAGGUGAAAUUCGUAGAUAUUCGGAGGAACACCAGUGGCGAAGGCGGCUCACUGGCUCGAUACUGACGCUGAGGUGCGAAGGCGUGGGUAGCGAACGGGAUUAGAUA